CUGUCAAAGGCUACAGAGCGCACACUGCUCCAGUUCUUCCUUUCUUCCUUGCUCUCAUGUCUCCAGCUGACUGCUUUCCUAGUCACAGGGGAAACAUUUAAUUAGGAAACCCCUAUGGAGCAGAGGGAGAACCCAGCAGGCAAGGAGUCAAAAUCUCUGCAAUCAGCAGUGAUAAAGGGCUGUUAUUUUGACAAGCGGGAUAAAAAUAAAAAGCAUAAAAGGCUGCAGCGGGAGGCCUGAAAUGGACGCUGAGCUUUCUCUUUCCUCAGAGUGGAUUUGUUUGCUAUGGUUUUCUGUGAUGAAGGAACGGCUCUGAUUAUGUCAAUAAAUGGCUUCUUCAUUUGUGAAUCAGCAUCCACUCAACACUAGAAAAGCAUCCAAACCAAAUACAGAAGUUGGAAGCUGCUGAGCUUCAGCACACACUAACCAGUGUUCUGCGGGAGUCAUCUUUAUUUGUUAGAUGCUUCAGGGGUCUACCAGACAUCAUACCUGAUGCUUCACUCUACACUGCUGUAUUUCAGUGUUCUGGAUAUGCCAGCUUCUCAGUGCCUCCAGCAUGGAUUUGGGAGAAGAUGGACAUAUUUUCUCUGCAUGCACUGCUUGGAGAAGAGCUACUGCAGCUGUACUCAAGGAAAAUUUAUGGAGAAGACUGGAUUCUUGAGCCUGACCAAACCAGCACAGCUGUUACCACAAGGACAUCUGUCUGCAUCAAACUGCUCUGGAAACGUUGAGAUCAGCAAAGAUGUGUCAGGGAUUGCCCAUGUAGGGUGAUCUGAACUGCAGAUCCUGAAGAAGGCAGUCUUCCUUCACUACCAGAAUGCCAACAAAAUCUUUGCAUACAAUUUUGUGUGGCUAACGUCACAGGUUAACAUCAGUGUGGACAUGUGUGGACAGCAAAAGGAACCGGCCAUAAUGUUCCCAAAGAAAUGCAAAAAGUGGCUUUGAAAAGACAACCAGCUUCCUAUAGCACAUGGUCUGAAGAGUGCAGUUGGAAUGAUUCUUGGACGGGUGCAUGCUGAACUCCCUGUUUAACAACAGACUUAAAUCUGUCCUUUUGAUCAUUUUUGUCUGUGGAACAAACUGCAGGGGGAAAAAAACAAAGCAUCAGCACUGUGCUUUUGCUGUACCUGACAUAAAGAAUGUACCAAUUUGUUUCGCGAUGCAUCUGAAAAGGCUGUUUCUUUUUUUUUAACCUGUCAUUAACACAUUUUUUGUUAUAGCAUACAAUGCUAAUUCAACAGAUUUCAGAGGGUGAAGACUUAUUCAUGUUCACACAAUGCUCUGGGCUUGGAGAAAGCUGAUACCAUGUGUUCAGUAAUUUUCACCUUCUCACAUAAGCAGACAGACAUUUCACAGGAAGAAAGUUUGUGGAGAAAAGCAUGAUAUAACAGCAAAUGAGCAAUAGUAUUUUUUGCUUCAUCUAUUAUACACUGUUAUUCCAGUGGUUUAUAAACCACAAGUCUUGGUUUACAGCAGCUCAGUCUGAAAAGGAAUUACCCCCUCCCUCUUCAGCCUCACCUUCAGACAUGGAUCUCACUCUAGAAGAAAGCAAUCUGAGCCAGUGAGUCUUGCUGUGAGGACACAGCACUAGGUGUGGUACCAGCCUUCAAUCUUUACAGUCUAAGCAGUUCUGGCAAACUACUGCGCCUCUGUAUUUUCUCAUUUCAGCUGAACUUGACAGUCACUUUAUCCCUGCAGUGCCCAUUACAUGUAAAUCCUUCCAACAGUAACUUAUCAGGAAGGCAAUGUUACUUCACAGGGAAGUUCACUUUGAACAGAUGCUUUAAAAAGGCCACGCUUCACUCUUGAGAUAUGCUGAAUGGUCUCAUUUUCUUCUUUUCCUUUCUCCUUCUCAUUGUAAGGAGCUUGUUUACUUUUUGUAAACUAGUGGUAUUAUUCUGAUUUUCACCAUGAUUACUAAAACUGUCAAGACCACUGAAGCAUUACAUCAGGAGAGGCAGCUGACACUUGGGAAAUGUGGGUUGCAUUACGUGGGUGCUGUGCAACCAUGGUUUCACAAGCUGGUUCUAAACACACAGCCCCACUAGGAACCUAACUAGUGUGGCUUCAGUCUGCAAGUUUGAUGAGCACUCUGAGGAUGAACAAACUGAACUAGAAUACAAGCAGGUUUUAAUCUGUUCACCUACUGAAGGGUAGGUCAUUCAUUUUGAAGCUAGACUCUGGAUACUUCCAAAUCUGUUUCAAAAACAAUAAUGUUGACCUUCACAGCCUCUGAAAUACGUUUGGCAGGGAAACAGUAUUGUAUCUGAAAGAGAUGGAAAAUCAUGCACGCGUUACCUAGAAAAUGAGAGUAGACAGGGAUCCUAAAAAUCUCUGAAGUUCGCUGUCAUUAUAGUUAGGAAAGAGCUCUGGUGAUUACUAUGUGCUAAAUGUGAGUUGCAUUGGUUAAGGAAUAGUUACAACUUUCUGUGUCAUUUUUGCUGACUAUUUAUGAAAAUGUUGGUUUAUAUUUAUUAGGCUUUCUACCUUGAUGGGAGCUGAACUGAGUGAAUUAAUAGGCUGCUUUCCAUUUGUGACUUCUGAUUCCAUGAAUAACAUUUUUUUGUGAUGGAAAAAUAAGACAAACAUCAAAAGAUGCCUAUGCAGGUAAUCAAUCAUUUUAUCAGAUAAUAACCAUACAUGUAAUAUAAUAUUGAAACAUUUUCAGAAGAGAUUGCUACUACUGUAUUUCAGAGUGAUAGCUCAUCAGUUAGUUACAAUUUAAAAUAAAUUCAAAUACAAAU
Molecule: long non-coding RNA, 2744 nt
Filed under: Gallus gallus (chicken)
Lineage: Eukaryota; Metazoa; Chordata; Aves; Galliformes; Phasianidae
Description: lncRNA (ENSGALG00010001012.1)
Source: RNAcentral